AGGACGAACGUUGGCGGCGUGCCUUACACAUGCAAGUCGUACGCGAAAGGGUGAACCGGCUUGCCGGGGAUCCCGAGUAGAGUGGCGAACGGGAGCGUAACACGUGAGAAACCUGCCUUGGAGUGGGGAAUAACUUCGAGAAAUCGGAGCCAAUUCCGCAUGAUGCAGCGGCCCCGCAUGGGGACAGUUGUUAAAGACGGCCUCUGCUUGCAAGCCGUCGCUUCGAGAUGGUCUCGCGGCCUAUCAGCUAGUUGGUGAGGUAAUGGCUCACCAAGGCGACGACGGGUAGCCGGCCUGAGAGGGUGUCCGGCCUCAUUGGGACUGAGACACGGCCCAGACUCCGUA
This 345-nucleotide ribosomal RNA is filed under the name uncultured soil bacterium. RNAcentral describes it as "bacterial SSU rRNA". It matches the Rfam family "Bacterial small subunit ribosomal RNA", at positions 26 to 342 of the family's 1533-position model. The record is from RNAcentral.